This 446-nucleotide long non-coding RNA is filed under the name Gallus gallus (chicken). Its description in RNAcentral is "lncRNA (ENSGALG00010025224.1)". The record is from RNAcentral. Lineage: Eukaryota; Metazoa; Chordata; Aves; Galliformes; Phasianidae.
GUUAGGCACCUCAUCCUAUUAAAAUCCCCUCUGCCCAAGGGCCCUUAAUCCCAGGAAGACAUAUACACAGUUUAUGCCCUUCUCAUUUCAGUUGGCAUACUUCUCAUAUUAUUUCUUCAUAGGCCAGAAGUCUGAAGCUUACAGAUCUGUCUGUGCGUUCUCCAGUUCACAAGAUCCUUAUGUGCUGCAAUCAACUUUUUCUUCUUAACCAUCUUCAAUCAAGUGAUGAAGGCCCCUUUUCAAGGAGGCACUUAUGCAGGAACAGUACCAGUAGCUUCACAUGUCUGAACAAAUCUGCACAUCCUGAUGUGAGCACAAUCCUGAGUUGGACACAAGCUUAGAAUUCAGCCUGACUAGGCUUCAGUCAUAAUAAAUUCACCCACCAGCAAAUUUUAGUGUGCUAACUGCUGAAAUGGACUACACCCAUGGAAGAAGCUCCUGACAAG